This 466-nucleotide ribosomal RNA is filed under the name uncultured bacterium. RNAcentral's name for it is "partial 16S ribosomal RNA". It matches the Rfam family "Bacterial small subunit ribosomal RNA", at positions 28 to 505 of the family's 1533-position model. The record is from RNAcentral.
GACGAACGCUGGCGGCGUGCUUAACACAUGCAAGUCGAACGGAAAGGCCCUGCUUUUGUGGGGUGCUCGAGUGGCGAACGGGUGAGUAACACGUGAGUAACCUGCCCUUGACUUUGGGAUAACUUCAGGAAACUGGGGCUAAUACCGGAUAGGAGCUCCUGCUGCAUGGUGGGGGUUGGAAAGUUUCGGCGGUUGGGGAUGGACUCGCGGCUUAUCAGCUUGUUGGUGGGGUAGUGGCUUACCAAGGCUUUGACGGGUAGCCGGCCUGAGAGGGUGACCGGCCACAUUGGGUCUGGGAGGCGGCCCAGACUCCUACGGGAGGCAGCAGUGGGGAAUAUUGCACCAUGGGCGGGAGCCUGAUGCAGCACCGCCGCGUGCGGGAUGACGGCCUUCGGGUUGUAAACCGCUUUCGCCUGUGACGAAGCGUGAGUCACGGUAAUGAGUAAAGACGCACCGGCUCACUGCG